UACGGAGGAUGCAAGCGUUAUCCGGAAUGAUUGGGCGUAAAGGGUCCGCAGGUGGCAAUGUGUGUCUGCUGUCAAAGAAUGAGGCUUAACCUCAUCAAGGCAGUGGAAACUACAUAGCUAGAGUACGGUCGGGGUAGAAGGAAUUCCUGGUGUAGCGGUGAAAUGCGUAGAGAUCAGGAAGAACACCGGUGGCGAAAGCGUUCUGCUAGACCUGUACUGACACUGAGGGACGAAAGCUAGGAGAGCGAAUGGG
RNAcentral lists this ribosomal RNA (253 nucleotides) under uncultured bacterium. RNAcentral describes it as "partial 16S ribosomal RNA". It matches the Rfam family "Bacterial small subunit ribosomal RNA", at positions 524 to 776 of the family's 1533-position model. The record is from RNAcentral.